CCUACGGGAGGCAGCAGUGGGGAAUAUUGCACAAUGGGCGAAACCCUGAUGCAGCAACGCCGCGUGAAGGAAGAAGGGUUUCGGCUUGUAAACUUCUUUUAACAGGGACGAAAGAAAUGACGGUACCUGAAUAAGAAGCCCCGGCUACCGAGGUGCCAGCAGCCGCGGUAAUACGUAGGGGGCAAGCGUUAUCCGGAUUUACUGGGUGUAAAGGGUGAGUAGGCGGCAUGGUAAGCCAGAUGUGAAGGCCUUGGGCUUAACCCGAGGAUUGCAUUGGAAACUAUCAAGCUAGAGUACAGGAGAGGAAAGCGGAAUUCCUAGUGUAGCGGUGAAAUGCGUAGAUAUUAGGAAGAAUACCAGUGGCGAAGGCGGCUUUCUGGACUGUAACUGACGCUGAGGCACGAAAGCGUGGGGAGCGAACAGGAUUAGAUACCCGAGUAGUC
This 443-nucleotide ribosomal RNA is filed under the name uncultured bacterium. RNAcentral describes it as "partial 16S ribosomal RNA". It matches the Rfam family "Bacterial small subunit ribosomal RNA", at positions 338 to 795 of the family's 1533-position model. The record is from RNAcentral.